CUACGGAGGGGGCUAGCGUUGUUCGGAAUUACUGGGCGUAAAGCGCACGUAGGCGGCUUUGUAAGUCAGAGGUGAAAGCCUGGAGCUCAACUCCAGAACUGCCUUUGAGACUGCAUCGCUUGAAUCCAGGAGAGGUCAGUGGAAUUCCGAGUGUAGAGGUGAAAUUCGUAGAUAUUCGGAAGAGCACCAGUGGCGAAGGCGGCUGACUGGACUGGUAUUGACGCUGAGGUGCGAAAGCGUGGGGAGCAAACAGGAUUAGAAACCCUAGUAGUCC
Molecule: ribosomal RNA, 274 nt
Filed under: uncultured bacterium
Lineage: Bacteria
Description: partial 16S ribosomal RNA
Rfam family: Bacterial small subunit ribosomal RNA
Source: RNAcentral